GUGAAAGCCAGGAGUGCCCGCAAGGGAGCGCAGAGACAGGUGGUGCAUGGCUGUCGUCAGCUCGUGUCGUGAGAUGUUGGGUUAAGUCCCGCAACGAGCGCAACCCUCACCCUUUGUUGCCAUCAGGUUAUGCUGGGCACUCUAAGGGAACUGCCUCGGUUAACGAGGAGGAAGGUGGGGAUGACGUCAAGUCAUCAUGCCCCUUACGCUCUGGGCUACACACGUGCUACAAUGGCCAAUACAAAGGGCUGCAAACCCGCGAGGGCAAGCCAAUCCCAAAAAAUUGGUCUCAGUUCAGAUUGUAGGCUGCAACCCGCCUGCAUGAAGGAGGAAUCGCUAGUAAUCGUGGAUCAGCAUGCCACGGUGAAUACGUUCCCGGGCCUUGUACACACCGCCCGUCACACCACGAAAGUCUGUUGUACUCGAAGUCGCUGAG
This 436-nucleotide ribosomal RNA is filed under the name uncultured bacterium. Its description in RNAcentral is "bacterial SSU rRNA". It matches the Rfam family "Bacterial small subunit ribosomal RNA", at positions 1001 to 1434 of the family's 1533-position model. The record is from RNAcentral.